RNAcentral lists this ribosomal RNA (152 nucleotides) under Girardinia diversifolia. RNAcentral describes it as "partial 28S ribosomal RNA". The record is from RNAcentral. Lineage: Eukaryota; Viridiplantae; Streptophyta; Magnoliopsida; Rosales; Urticaceae.
GGUCAUCAAUAUUUCGAACACCGCCGUGCGCUCCCGUGUCGCGAAGGAUGUCACUAAUAAAAACCCGAUGCCUCGCUUUUUGAAGAGCGGAGCUUACAACGCGACCCCAGGUCAGGCGGGGCUACCCGCUGAGUUUAAGCAUAAUCAAUAAA